CCUUCGUGAUGUGUGGAGUGGAUCAUUGGUAUUGGUAAGUGGAGGUUUGGAAAAAAGAAAGUUUAAAAGAGGAAUGUUUUCUUAAAUAAAUGGAAGCCAAGAAUAACGUUCAUGCCAUGCUCUAACUGCCAUUUCAAAGCUCUACAUAAGCUAAAACAAAUAAACCAACCCCGUCUUGUUGACCUAGAUUACUGCUUAAACAAAGUUAUUCCCAAUAUUCCCUUCAUCUAAUGAAGUUCCUCCAAAUUUCAUGAUCCUUGUGACAAUCCACCCCAGACUAUGGUGAGAGACCCAGAGCUGCAGCAGUUUUGGUUGUGGUUAUUCUGACAUUGACCCGAAGGGAGCAAGAAUGUUUCUCAGGAGCCCUUGCCUGGACUCCCCUUCCAGACCACAACUUCCCCGGUGAUAUGGGACCCUGGAGGAGGAAGUCUACAAUGUGGGAGAGAUGAGUUACCAGGAAGAUAACCUUUGCACUCAGAAGGCUUGCGAACCCCAGAGGAGACUGUCUGUCUGAGAGAUCACCUUACCCACACUGUGGAAUAAAAAUAUUGCCUCUGACAUUAGGGAACUGGCAUUCCCCUCCUCCACUGUUUGAAAAGAUACCAGAGGUAGAAUCUUCAUCCUUUGUUCACUGAUGCCACCCAAGCACCUAGACCAGCGAUGGCAAAUUUAAAACAUUUAAAAAUUGAUGCCUUCCAGUUGUUUGCACACAUUUAGAAUUUUACUGCAUAUGUUAUAAGAGGAAGGAUCUAAAAAUAAAUUAUUAUUCUUU
RNAcentral lists this long non-coding RNA (772 nucleotides) under Homo sapiens (human). RNAcentral's name for it is "HSALNT0323909". The record is from RNAcentral. Lineage: Eukaryota; Metazoa; Chordata; Mammalia; Primates; Hominidae.